Molecule: ribosomal RNA, 424 nt
Filed under: uncultured bacterium
Lineage: Bacteria
Description: partial 16S ribosomal RNA
Rfam family: Bacterial small subunit ribosomal RNA
Source: RNAcentral
GUGGGGAAUCUUGCGCAAUGGGCGAAAGCCUGACGCAGCCAUGCCGCGUGAAUGAUGAAGGUCUUAGGAUUGUAAAAUUCUUUCACCGGGGACGAUAAUGACGGUACCCGGAGAAGAAGCUCCGGCUAACUUCGUGCCAGCAGCCGCGGUAAUACGAAGGGGGCUAGCGUUGCUCGGAAUUACUGGGCGUAAAGGGCGCGUAGGCGGACAGCUUAGUCAGAGGUGAAAGCCCAGGGAUCAACCUUGGAAUUGCCUUUGAUACUGGCUGUCUUGAGUUUGGGAGAGGUGAGUGGAACUCCGAGUGUAGAGGUGAAAUUCGUAGAUAUUCGGAAGAACACCAGUGGCGAAGGCGACUCACUGGCCCAAUACUGACGCUGAGGCGCGAAAGCGUGGGGAGCAAACAGGAUUAGAAACCCUAUAGUCC